RNAcentral lists this ribosomal RNA (178 nucleotides) under uncultured bacterium. Its description in RNAcentral is "partial 16S ribosomal RNA". It matches the Rfam family "Bacterial small subunit ribosomal RNA", at positions 1323 to 1500 of the family's 1533-position model. The record is from RNAcentral.
AAGCCGGAAUUGCUAGUAAUGGCAGGUCAGCAUACUGCCGUGAAUACGUUCCCGGGCCCUUGUACACACCGCCCGUCACACCAUGAGAGUCGGGAACACCCGAAGUCCGUAGUCUAACCGCAAGGGGGCGCGGCCGAAGGUGGGUCCGGUAAUUGGGGUGAAGUCGUAACAAGGUAGC